CCUACGGGAGGCAGCAGUGAGGAAUAUUGGUCAAUGGCCGGAAGGCUGAACCAGCCAAGCCGCGUGAAGGACGAAGGUGCCAAGCAUUGUAAACUUCUUUUGUCAAGGGACAAAAUCAGGCUCGAGAGCCUGACCGAGGGUACUUGAAGAAAAAGCAUCGGCUAACUCCGUGCCAGCAGCCGCGGUAAUACGUAGGGGGCAAGCGUUAUCCGGAUUUACUGGGGGUAAAGGGGGCGCAGACGGCAAUGCAAGCCAGGAGUGAAAGCCCGGGGCCCAACCCCGGGACUGCUCUUGGAACUGCAUGGCUGGAGUACAGGAGGGGCAGGCGGAAUUCCUAGUGUAGCGGUGAAAUGCGUAGAUAUUAGGAGGAACACCGGUGGCGAAGGCGGCUUACUGGACUGUAACUGACGUUGAGGCUCGAAAGCGUGGGGAGCAAACAGGAUUAGAUACCCGGGUAGUC
This 460-nucleotide ribosomal RNA is filed under the name uncultured bacterium. Its description in RNAcentral is "partial 16S ribosomal RNA". It matches the Rfam family "Bacterial small subunit ribosomal RNA", at positions 338 to 795 of the family's 1533-position model. The record is from RNAcentral.